UACGGAGGGGGCUAGCGUUGUUCGGAAUUACUGGGCGUAAAGCGCACGUAGGCGGCUUUUUAAGUCAGAGGUGAAAGCCCGGAGCUCAACUCCGGAAUUGCCUUUGAGACUGGAUCGCUUGAACGUCGGAGAGGUGAGUGGAAUUCCGAGUGUAGAGGUGAAAUUCGUAGAUAUCGGAAGGAACACCAGUGGCGAAAGCGGCUUCCUGGUCCGACACCGACGUCAGGCACGAAAGCGUGGGGAGCAAACAGGG
Molecule: ribosomal RNA, 253 nt
Filed under: uncultured bacterium
Lineage: Bacteria
Description: partial 16S ribosomal RNA
Rfam family: Bacterial small subunit ribosomal RNA
Source: RNAcentral